This is a long non-coding RNA of Vitis riparia (riverbank grape), 1169 nucleotides long. RefSeq lists it as uncharacterized. The record is from RefSeq and is a predicted model, not a curated record. Lineage: Eukaryota; Viridiplantae; Streptophyta; Magnoliopsida; Vitales; Vitaceae. The transcript is spliced from 3 exons.
AGUUGAAAAUGGUAUCAGAUAUCGGACUCGACUGGGAAAGGUCCGAGGCAGAUACAACUCGACCAAGUCGUACUGGACUUGGCCGAUGCCCUAGCGUCCACUUCUUCGUCUCCAGUCACUGCCAUAGUUGUCGUCAAUUUCCACUCCUCUGCAUCCCUGAAUGAGGACACUUCACUUGAUUACUAGAACCACAUGGAGAUUGUCGAUGGUGGAGCUCUUGAUGAUACAAAUGCUCUAUAGCUUCCCUACGUGUUGUUCUCAACGGAAUCCAAAAUUCUCAUAAGUUUCAUUGUAGUCGGCAUUCUCCAUGGAGAAGCACCAACACGCAGCAGCCUGAAAAGGGAGACAAUCCUUGGAAGAAUGCAGAGUCCGCUGAGGGAGUCAAUCACGCACUAUAAGAGGGGCCUUCUCUUACACGCGAAUAUGAUUUUCUUCACAGCCACCCUCACAGCCACACAGUCUGCAUCAUUAGAGAUCCCUCCUAGCAUCACACACCAAGGAAAGGGACCAUCAAUUCUAGAAGCAUCACAGCACACCAUUGGAAAGUUGGAGUCCACCAAUUGCGGCUGCAAGAGGCACACACAGAAGAGGCAACCACGCACCGCAGUUUGGGUGGCAUCUUCCACAACAAGCAGCUGCACGGGACUCCGUUGGAGAGAAUUCUCCACACACGGCCACAUAAAGACUUCAAUACAUAGUUGAACAGAUUUCCAUAGGACACACCAUACGAUGGUGGUAGUAGCCGCACAUUGGACGUAAGAAAAGCCGCUGUCACUUUUGACGCAGCAUAAUGGAGAAGAGAUUCACACACGCAGCCAUGGGAAGUUCCUGUUUAUAUUUACCAGAGCUUUUCACCAAACUUGGGAGAUUAGUUAAGAAAUCAGUUUGACUUUGGGGAAUAGGAAGAGAAUCGAUAUUAGAUGGGCAAAGAGCACUAGUAGAAGGAUGAUUCUAGUGGGAUAGUUCUUGAAAAUGGUGGAUGUAUGGGAAAUUGAAGGUCUUCAAUCUGUUGAAGCUUAUUCUUCCAUGAAUAGGCAUUUAUUGGGUUCAGUUUGAUUCUAUAUAUAUUUGUCCUGUUUGAUGAAAGAAAGGAUGAGAAAGAAAGGAUCUCAGAUAAUCAAUCCUCAUUCUUAGUAAGAAUUCUUGUGGUUCCAAAGUAUCAACUAUGG